RNAcentral lists this small RNA (522 nucleotides) under Pan troglodytes (chimpanzee). Its description in RNAcentral is "retained intron". The record is from RNAcentral. Lineage: Eukaryota; Metazoa; Chordata; Mammalia; Primates; Hominidae.
AUGGCAUCGUGGCCAACUACUGCUGGCUGCUGGUGGAGGGCCUGUACCUGCACAACCUGCUGGGCCUGGCCACCCUCCCCGAGAGGAGCUUCUUCAGCCUCUACCUGGGCAUCGGCUGGGGUGAGUGGGCUGGCAUGAGAGGGGGUUAAGGCAGGCUGACCAAGCCUUUGGGACCACAGCUGCUGCCCCCCACAGGUGCCCCCAUGCUGUUCGUCGUCCCCUGGGCAGUGGUCAAAUGUCUGUUCGAGAACGUCCAGUGCUGGACCAGCAAUGACAACAUGGGCUUCUGGUGGAUCCUGCGGUUCCCCGUCUUCCUGGCCAUCCUGGUGAGGAAAUGAAGAGCCAGGAGCGCACCCCAGGCCCCUCCUCCCUUGGCGUCCUGAGGCUGCCCCAGGAGACAGCAGCAUCCUGUCUGAGAGUGCUGGGAGGGAGCCGGCACCCAGACAGGACACCAGGACACUGGCCAGCACCCUGGACACUGAGCCAGGCUGUUCCUCCCUGGCUGUGUGCCCACCAGCCCCA